GAUCUAUCCAGAGAGGUGGAGGGACAUGGCCCUUUGAAACCUCAGCAACAGGUUCUACUAAUGUAGUAGAAUACUGUGCUAAUUCCAUCAGGCAUAUAGCUUGGAAGAUAGGAG
RNAcentral lists this non-coding RNA (114 nucleotides) under Rummeliibacillus stabekisii. RNAcentral describes it as "SAM-I sequence". It matches the Rfam family "SAM riboswitch aptamer (S box leader)". Rfam says of the family: The SAM riboswitch is found upstream of a number of genes which code for proteins involved in methionine or cysteine biosynthesis in Gram-positive bacteria. The SAM riboswitch acts at the level of transcription termination control. The record is from Rfam by way of RNAcentral. Lineage: Bacteria; Bacillati; Bacillota; Bacilli; Caryophanales; Caryophanaceae.